Molecule: small RNA, 63 nt
Rfam family: Sulfolobus sRNA133
About the family: This RNA has structural homologues in 3 archaeon Sulfolobus genomes: tokodaii, acidocalarius and solfotaricus. It shows extensive compensatory base changes, possibly consistent with a functional role.
Source: Rfam
AAGGCACCCAAUGAAACUCCCCAUGUCCUUGAAGGGAGUUAGUCCCGUAGACGGCAUGGGGAG